GAUGAACGCUAGCGGCAGGCUUAAUACAUGCAAGUCGUGGGGCAGCAGGACUGUAGCAAUACAGUUGCAGGCGACCGGCAAACGGGUGCGUAACACGUACGCAACCUACCCUGAACUGGGGGAUAGCCCGGGGAAACCCGGAUUAAUACCCCGUAAUAUAAUGGAGUGGCAUCACUUUAUUAUUAAAGCUCUGGCGGUUCGGGAUGGGCGUGCGGCCGAUUAGGUAGUUGGUUGAGGUAACGGCUCACCAAGCCUACGUUCAGUAACUGGUGUGAGAGCAGGACCAGUCACACGGGCACUGGGACACGGGCCCCACUCCUACGGGAGGGAGCAGUAAGGAAUGUUGGGCAAGGGAGGCAACUCGGACCCAGCCAUGCCGGGUGGAGGAGGAAGGCCCUCGGGGUUGUAUACUUCUUGUAUAGGGGACGAAACCUGUGUAUUCUUACGCAGUUGACGGUACCCUAGGAAUAAGCACCGGCUAACUCCGUG
RNAcentral lists this ribosomal RNA (489 nucleotides) under uncultured bacterium. Its description in RNAcentral is "partial 16S ribosomal RNA". It matches the Rfam family "Bacterial small subunit ribosomal RNA", at positions 28 to 507 of the family's 1533-position model. The record is from RNAcentral.